UACAGGGGGGGCAAGCGUUGUUCGGAAUUACUGGGCGUAAAGGGCUCGUAGGUGGUCAACUAAGUCGGACGUGAAAUCCCUCGGCUUAACCGGGGAACUGCGUCCGAUACUGGAUGACUUGAGUUCGGGAGAGGGAUGCGGAAUUCCAGGUGUAGCGGUGAAAUGCGUAGAUAUCGGGAGGAACACCAGUGGCGAAGGCGACUACCUGGCCUGUUCUUGACGCUGAGGCGCGAAAGCUAGGGGAGCAAACAGG
This 253-nucleotide ribosomal RNA is filed under the name uncultured bacterium. Its description in RNAcentral is "partial 16S ribosomal RNA". It matches the Rfam family "Bacterial small subunit ribosomal RNA", at positions 524 to 776 of the family's 1533-position model. The record is from RNAcentral.